UCCGUAGGUGAACCUGCGGAUGGAUCAUUAACAAAUGUUUCCAUCUUCUACCUCUUGUGAACUGUAUUGAGAAAGACUGUCAGUUGUUUCGGCAGCUGGCGGUCUACCAUCAAACGUUGUUUUUAUUGUGAACUGAAGUAUGUGAAUUAAAAAAUACAUACAACUUUUAGCAAUGGAUCUCUUGGCUCUUGCAACGAUGAAGAACGCAGCAAACUGCGAAAAGUAGUGUGAAUUGCAGAUACCGUGAAUCAUCGAAUUUUUGAACGCACAUUGCACUGUCUGGAAUUCCGGGCAGUAUGUCUGUUUGAGCAUCAGUAAACCCAUCUCAACACCCUUGUGGUGUCGGGGAGUUGGGCUGAUAUCGGCGUAUGCCGGUGCAGCCUGAAAUGCAGUUACCGCGAGCUAGCUUAGCGUACAGAGUCAUGCCUUUGGCAGUUUCUGUUCAGCGGCUGGCGUAUUCGCCGGUAAGCGUUUGUCGGUUCGCCGCGCAGACAACUGCGUACCUCUGGUACCACUCCAUUGAUCUCAAAUCAGGCAAGGCUACCCGCUGAACUUAAGCAUAUUAAUAAGCGGAGGAAAAGAAACUAACCAGGAUUCCCUCAGUAACGGCGAGUGAAGCGGGAAUAGCUCAGACUGAAAAUCUUCGGAAUUGUAGUCUGGAGAAGCGAAGUCAGCAAAAUCUACCGGCAAAGUCUUCUGGAACGGAGCACCAAGGAGGGUGAUAGUCCCGUCUAUGCUAGGUGGGUGGAGCGUACGACUCGCUUUCUACGAGUCGAGUUGUUUGGGAUUGCAGCUCUAAGUGGGUGGUAAAUUCCAUCUAAAGCUAAAUAUUGGUGGGAGACCGAUAGCGAACAAGUACCGUGAGGGAAAGAUGAAAAGAACUUUGAAAAGAGAGUUAAACAGUACCUGAAAUUGCUAGAAGGGAAACGCUUAAAGU
RNAcentral lists this ribosomal RNA (937 nucleotides) under uncultured fungus. RNAcentral describes it as "eukaryotic LSU rRNA". The stretch from base 521 to 937 matches the Rfam family "Eukaryotic large subunit ribosomal RNA", at positions 1 to 429 of the family's 3401-position model. The record is from RNAcentral. Lineage: Eukaryota; Fungi.